UCCCUGGUGGUCCAGUGGUUAGUACUACAGACUCCCACUUUGGGGCCGCAGGUUCAAUCCCUGGUCAGGGAA
Molecule: transfer RNA, 72 nt
Filed under: Bos taurus (domestic cattle)
Lineage: Eukaryota; Metazoa; Chordata; Mammalia; Artiodactyla; Bovidae
Also listed under: 4 other names
Rfam family: tRNA
About the family: Transfer RNA (tRNA) molecules are approximately 80 nucleotides in length. Their secondary structure includes four short double-helical elements and three loops (D, anti-codon, and T loops).
Source: Rfam by way of RNAcentral